CAGUAGCCGCGGUAAUACGUAGGUGGCGAGCGUUGUCCGGAAUUACUGGGCGUAAAGCGUGCGCAGGCGGUUCGCUAAGACAGAUGUGAAAUCCCCGGGCUUAACCUGGGAACUGCAUUUGUGACUGGCGGGCUAGAGUAUGGCAGAGGGGGGUAAAAUUCCACGUGUAGCAGUGAAAUGCGUAGAGAUGUGGAGGAAUACCGAUGGCGAAGGCAGCCCCCUGGGCCAAUACUGACGCUCAUGCACGAAAGCGUGGGGAGCAAACAGGAUUAGAUACCCCCGUAGUCCCUGUCUCUUAUAC
This 301-nucleotide ribosomal RNA is filed under the name uncultured bacterium. Its description in RNAcentral is "partial 16S ribosomal RNA". It matches the Rfam family "Bacterial small subunit ribosomal RNA", at positions 509 to 807 of the family's 1533-position model. The record is from RNAcentral.